This is a non-coding RNA of Phrynosoma platyrhinos (Desert horned lizard), 72 nucleotides long. Lineage: Eukaryota; Metazoa; Chordata; Lepidosauria; Squamata; Phrynosomatidae. The record is from the annotation of a GenBank genome assembly.
ACCAGUGUGGCGUAGUGGUUUGAGUUUUGGACUAUGACUCUGGAGACCAGGGUUCGAUUCCCAACUCAGCCA